UACGUAGGGUGCGAGCGUUGUCCGGAAUUACUGGGCGUAAAGAGCUCGUAGGUGGUUUGUCGCGUUGUUCGUGAAGACCUGAGGCUUAACCUUGGGCGUGCGGGCGAUACGGGCAGACUGGAGUACUGCAGGGGAGACUGGAAUUCCUGGUGUAGCGGUGGAAUGCGCAGAUAUCAGGAGGAACACCGGUGGCGAAGGCGGGUCUCUGGGCAGUAACUGACGCUGAGGGGCGAAAGCGUGGGGAGCGAACAGG
RNAcentral lists this ribosomal RNA (253 nucleotides) under uncultured bacterium. RNAcentral describes it as "partial 16S ribosomal RNA". It matches the Rfam family "Bacterial small subunit ribosomal RNA", at positions 524 to 776 of the family's 1533-position model. The record is from RNAcentral.